UCGUGGAGCUUCGGCUCCUUCGAGGGAGAACCCUUGCCUUUUCAAGCACCUGUUUGUUUCCUCGGCAGGCCCGCCUGCCAAUGGGGACCCCUUAAACUCUUGCAAUCAACCUGAACAAUAUCGUCUGAAUUAAAAAUUUAAAUCA
RNAcentral lists this unclassified non-coding RNA (145 nucleotides) under uncultured Westerdykella. RNAcentral describes it as "sequence contains ITS1". Lineage: Eukaryota; Fungi; Ascomycota; Dothideomycetes; Pleosporales; Sporormiaceae. The record is from RNAcentral.